AAUGCAAAUCAAAACCACACAAAAGAUGAUCAAGAGGAGCAUGAAAAAAUCCCCUGAAUCCAUUGGCUUUCUUCCCUAUACUGACAACAGUUUACUUGUGUAAGAGAUGAGGGUCUCAUCCUUUUGCCCAGGCUGGAGUACAGUGGUGUGUAUGUAGCACACUGCAGCCUUCAACUCCUGAUCCUCCAACCUCAGCCUCCACAGUUGCUGGGAUUACAAGUUCAAGUUGGUGUGUAUCUGCAAAGGCGAUGGAAAGGAGUUCUUACAUAUGCAUAUUCUGAAGAAGGAUGUUACCCUUACUGAAAAACUUAUUCCAAGAUAUGUUUAAUCAAUCAUGAGAAAAAUAAAGAGACAUCCUUAUGAAUGGAGAAUAAAGUCCUCAGGGUUUUUUUCUAAUUCCCCAUGUGAAUGAAGAGCUGUGUUAUUCUAAAUAUAGUGUUUGUCAUAAGGCAA
Homo sapiens (human) is the source of this 453-nucleotide long non-coding RNA. Ensembl annotates it as NOVA1 divergent transcript. Its record names the gene NOVA1-DT. The record is from Ensembl. NCBI's taxonomy places the organism in Eukaryota, Metazoa, Chordata, Mammalia, Primates, Hominidae.